This 484-nucleotide ribosomal RNA is filed under the name uncultured bacterium. RNAcentral's name for it is "partial 16S ribosomal RNA". It matches the Rfam family "Bacterial small subunit ribosomal RNA", at positions 30 to 507 of the family's 1533-position model. The record is from RNAcentral.
AUUGAACGCUGGCGGCAGGCCUAACACAUGCAAGUCGAGCGGAUGAAGGGAGCUUGCUCCUGGAUUCAGCGGCGGACGGGUGAGUAAUGCCUAGGAAUCUGCCUGGUAGUGGGGGAUAACGUCCGGAAACGGGCGCUAAUACCGCAUACGUCCUGAGGGAGAAAGUGGGGGAUCUUCGGACCUCACGCUAUCAGAUGAGCCUAGGUCGGAUUAGCUAGUUGGUGGGGUAAAGGCCUACCAAGGCGACGAUCCGUAACUGGUCUGAGAGGAUGAUCAGUCACACUGGAACUGAGACACGGUCCAGACUCCUACGGGAGGCAGCAGUGGGGAAUAUUGGACAAUGGGCGAAAGCCUGAUCCAGCCAUGCCGCGUGUGUGAAGAAGGUCUUCGGAUUGUAAAGCACUUUAAGUUGGGAGGAAGGGAAGUAAGUUAAUACCUUGCUGUUUUGACGUUACCGACAGAAUAAGCACCGGCUAACUUCGUG